CCUACGGGAGGCUGCAGUGAGGAAUAUUGGUCAAUGGGCUUACGCCUGAACCAGCCAAGUCGCGUGAGUGAAGACUGCCCUAUGGGUUGUAAACCUCUUUUGUCAGGGAGCAAUUGGCGCUACGUGUAGCGUUAUCAAGAGUACCUGAAGACAAAGCAUCGGCAAACUCCGUGCCAGCAUGCUCGGUGAUACGGGGGAUGUGAGCGUUAUCCGGAUUUGUUGGGGUUUAGGGAUGCGUAGGCGGAAUGCCCAUUCCGCGAUAAAAUCGCGGGGCUAAACCUCGCACAGCCGGUGAAACUGGCGUUCUUGAGUGGGCGAGAAGUAUGCGGAAUGCGUGGUGUAGCGGUGAAAUGCAUAGAUAGCACGCAGAACGCCGGUUGCGAAGGCAGCAUACCGGCGCCCAACUGACGCUGAAGCACGAAAGCGUGGGUAUCGAACAGGAUUAGAUACCCCUGUAGUC
RNAcentral lists this ribosomal RNA (460 nucleotides) under uncultured bacterium. RNAcentral describes it as "partial 16S ribosomal RNA". It matches the Rfam family "Bacterial small subunit ribosomal RNA", at positions 338 to 795 of the family's 1533-position model. The record is from RNAcentral.